RNAcentral lists this long non-coding RNA (592 nucleotides) under Salmo salar (Atlantic salmon). RNAcentral's name for it is "lncRNA (ENSSSAG00000113136.1)". Lineage: Eukaryota; Metazoa; Chordata; Actinopteri; Salmoniformes; Salmonidae. The record is from RNAcentral.
CAUCCUGUAUGGUAGGGGUUAGAGUUAACACUAGGUACACACCCUGUAUGGUAGGGGUUAUAGUUAACACUAGGUACACAUCCUGUAUGGUAGGGGUUAGAGUUAACACUAGGUACACACCCUGUAUGGUAGGGGUUAGAGUUAACACUAGGUACACAUCCUGUAUGGUAGGGGUUAGGGUUAACACUAGGUACACACCCUGUAUGGUAGGGGUUAGGGUUAACACUAGGUACACAUCCUGUAUGGUAGGGGUUAGAGUUAACACUGGGUACACACCCUGUAUGGUAGGGGUUAGGGUUAUAGUUAACACUAGGUACACACCCUGUAUGGUAGGGGUUAGGGUUAACACUAGGUACACAUCCUGUAUGGUAGGGGUUAGAGUUAACACUGGGUACACACCCUGUAUGGUAGGGGUUAGGGUUAUAGUUAACACUAGGUACACACCCUGUAUGGUAGGGGUUAUAGUUAACACUAGGUACACAUCCUGUAUGGUAGGGGUUAGGGUUAACACUAGGUACACACCCUGUAUGGUAGGGGUUAGAGUUAACACUAGGUACACACCCUGUAUGGUAGGGGUUAGAGUUAACACUAG